AACGAACGCUGGCGGCGCGCCUAAUACAUGCAAGUCGAGCGAGAAGGUGUAGCAAUACACUUGUAAAGCGGCGAACGGGUGAGGAAUGCAUGGGUAACCUACCCUCGAGUGGGGAAUAACUAGCCGAAAGGUUAGCUAAUACCACAUACGUUUCCGGAACUUCGGUUUCGGAAAGAAAGCAAUACCGUGGGUAUUGCGCUCCUGGAUGGGCUCAUGUCCUAUCAGCUUGUUGGUGAGGUAACGGCUCACCAAGGCUUCGACGGGUAGCUGGUCUGAGAGGACGAUCAGCCACACUGGCACUGCGACACGGGCCAGACUCCUACGGGAGGCAGCAGUAAGGAAUAUUGCGCAAUGGACGAAAGUCUGACGCAGCGACGCCGCGUGGGGGAUGAAGGUCUUCGGAUUGUAAACCCCUUUCGGGAGGGAGAUGGAGUGGGUAACCACUUGGACGGUACCUCCAGAAGCAGCCACGGCUAACUUCGUGCCAGCAGCCGCGGUAA
Molecule: ribosomal RNA, 500 nt
Filed under: uncultured bacterium
Lineage: Bacteria
Description: bacterial SSU rRNA
Rfam family: Bacterial small subunit ribosomal RNA
Source: RNAcentral